Molecule: Y RNA, 92 nt
Filed under: Microcebus murinus (gray mouse lemur)
Lineage: Eukaryota; Metazoa; Chordata; Mammalia; Primates; Cheirogaleidae
Description: Y RNA (ENSMICG00000044640.1)
Rfam family: Y RNA
About the family: Y RNAs are components of the Ro ribonucleoprotein particle (Ro RNP), in association with Ro60 and La proteins.
Source: Rfam by way of RNAcentral
GGCUGGUCCGAUGGUAGUGGUUAUCAGAACUUAUUCACAUUAGUGUCACUAAAGUUGGUAUCACCCCCACUGCUAGAUUUGACUGGCUUUAA